RNAcentral lists this small RNA (29 nucleotides) under Bombyx mori (domestic silkworm). Its description in RNAcentral is "ovarian small RNA-16591". The record is from RNAcentral. Lineage: Eukaryota; Metazoa; Arthropoda; Insecta; Lepidoptera; Bombycidae.
GCCACAAAGACCGGGCCUGCGCUGCCUGC